This 250-nucleotide ribosomal RNA is filed under the name uncultured bacterium. RNAcentral's name for it is "partial 16S ribosomal RNA". It matches the Rfam family "Bacterial small subunit ribosomal RNA", at positions 355 to 622 of the family's 1533-position model. The record is from RNAcentral.
UGGGGAAUAUUGGACAAUGGGCGCAAGCCUGAUCCAGCAAUUCCGCGUGAGCGAAGAAGGCCUUCGGGUUGUAAAGCUCUUUCGGCGGGGACGAUAAUGACGGUACCCGCAGAAGAAGCCCCGGCUAACUCCGUGCCAGCAGCCGCGGUAAUACGGAGGGGGCUAGCGUUGUUCGGAAUCACUGGGCGUAAAGCGCACGUAGGCGGCUACUCCAGUCAGAGGUGAAAGCCCGGGGCUCAACUCCGGAAUU